Molecule: unclassified non-coding RNA, 302 nt
Filed under: Bombus terrestris (buff-tailed bumblebee)
Lineage: Eukaryota; Metazoa; Arthropoda; Insecta; Hymenoptera; Apidae
Description: misc RNA ENSBTSG00005039114.1
Source: RNAcentral
CCAAGCAUGAUGCUUCUUCGGUCCUGCGAAGGAAAAACGAGAAACGAGGAGGAUCGAACAACCGCGAGAAAAUGCAUAAUCGAGAGAAUUCGAAAGCGCGGCUAAUUAGAUUCGCGGGCGUACUCGGCGAUACGCGCUGACUAUGGCCGAGCUGGCGUUUCUUUCGCGGCCAUGUAAGAUGUAAACGAGAGCUAACGUAGAAUCUCGCCGGUAAUAAGUGCAACCGGUGCGCUUGUGCUGGUAUGCGAACGCGCUACACGUGAACGCCUACGGAGUCCGAGAUUCACGCCGAGAUCUUCGCC